RNAcentral lists this non-coding RNA (29 nucleotides) under Homo sapiens (human). Lineage: Eukaryota; Metazoa; Chordata; Mammalia; Primates; Hominidae. The record is from RNAcentral.
UGGGAAGUGGGGAACGCCUCUGCCCAGCU